Molecule: ribosomal RNA, 279 nt
Filed under: uncultured bacterium
Lineage: Bacteria
Description: partial 16S ribosomal RNA
Rfam family: Bacterial small subunit ribosomal RNA
Source: RNAcentral
UGCCAGCAGCCGCGGUAAGACGAAGGUGGCAACCGUUGUUCGGAAUCACUGGGCAUAAAGAGCACGUAGGCGGGUCUUUAAGUCGGGUGUGAAAUCCCUCGGCCCAACCGAGGAACUGCGCCCGAUACUGAAGGCCUUGAGGGCAGGAGGGGAGUGUAGAAUUCCUGGUGGAGCGGUGAAAUGCGUUGACAUCAGGAGGAAUACCGGCGGCGAAGGCGACACUCUGGCCUGCUUCUGACGCUGAGGUGCGAAAGCUAGGGGAGCAAACGGGAUUAGAUA